UGGGGAAUUUUGGACAAUGGGCGAAAGCCUGAUCCAGCAAUGCCGCGUGUGUGAAGAAGGCCUUCGGGUUGUAAAGCACUUUUGUCCGGAAAGAAAUCCUUGGCUCUAAUACAGUCGGGGGAUGACGGUACCGGAAGAAUAAGCACCGGCUAACUACGUGCCAGCAGCCGCGGUAAUACGUAGGGUGCAAGCGUUAAUCGGAAUUACUGGGCGUAAAGCGUGCGCAGGCGGUUUGCUAAGACCGAUGUGAAAUCCCCGGGCUCAACCUGGGAACUGCAUUGGUGACUGGCAGGCUAGAGUAUGGCAGAGGGUGGUAGAUUCCACGUGUAGCAGUGAAAUGCGUAGAGAUGUGGAGGAAUACCGAUGGCGAAGGCAGCCCCCUGGGCCAAUACUGACGCUCAUGCACGAAAGCGUGGGGAGCAAACAGGAUUAGAUACCCUGGUAGUCCACGCCCUAAACGAUGUCAACUAGUUGUUGGGGAUUCAUUUCCUUAGUAACGUAGCUAACGCGUGAAGUUGACCGCCUGGGGAGUACGGUCGCAAGAUUAAAACUCAAAGGAAUUGACGGGGUCAUAGCUGUUUCC
Molecule: ribosomal RNA, 583 nt
Filed under: uncultured bacterium
Lineage: Bacteria
Description: partial 16S ribosomal RNA
Rfam family: Bacterial small subunit ribosomal RNA
Source: RNAcentral